GCGACAGAACCUGGAGAGGACGCCUUC
RNAcentral lists this non-coding RNA (27 nucleotides) under Cricetulus griseus (Chinese hamster). The record is from RNAcentral. Lineage: Eukaryota; Metazoa; Chordata; Mammalia; Rodentia; Cricetidae.